CAGAACUCGUGCUCUACUGACAAUUGUGGUAUCGCUGAAAAUUUAAGCGGGGACUCAAGUAGCUAUAAUGGAGCGUGCCUUAUGGCUUACGGUGGUAGCUCAUCUACAAUCCAGCAAAACCAUGACGUCUCAUCUUCAUCUCUAAUUUCUUCACGCGCAUGUAAUGAAUCUCGGGUCAUAGAUGAGCCAUUCGGUCAAUCUAGUGCAGGUUAUCAGAACCAGUUCUCAUACAAUAUUAAUAACUCCGCAACUUCAAAUGGGAACUCAGGUGGCUACAGUGAAGCUUACCUUACGACUUAUGAUGUUAGCUCAUCUACAUGCCAGCAAAACCAGGACAUCUCAUCAUUACCUAUAGUUCCUUCAUGCGUACUUGAUAAGUCUCAGGUCCAAGAUAGUUCAGGCAGUCAAUCUGGUAGAGGUUAUCAGAACCAGUCCUCAUACAAUGGUAAUAACUCUGCAACUUCAAGUAGGAACUCAAGUCCGAACUCAAGUAGCUACAUUGAAGCUCCCCUCAUGACUUUCGAGGAUAUCUCAUCUACAUCCCAGCAAAACCAUGACAUCUUAUCAUUACCUCUGAUUUCUU
RNAcentral lists this long non-coding RNA (583 nucleotides) under Bemisia tabaci. Its description in RNAcentral is "lncRNA ENSASIAIIG005970". The record is from RNAcentral. Lineage: Eukaryota; Metazoa; Arthropoda; Insecta; Hemiptera; Aleyrodidae.